GAGUUUGAUCCUGGCUCAGAUUGAACGCUGGCGGCAUGCUUUACACAUGCAAGUCGAACGGCAGCGCGGGGCAACCUGGCGGCGAGUGGCGAACGGGUGAGUAAUAUAUCGGAACGUACCCAGAAGUGGGGGAUAACGUAGCGAAAGUUACGCUAAUACCGCAUACGAUCUACGGAUGAAAGUGGGGGACCGCAAGGCCUCACGCUUUUGGAGCGGCCGAUAUCUGAUUAGCUAGUUGGUGAGGUAAAGGCUCACCAAGGCGACGAUCAGUAGCUGGUCUGAGAGGACGACCAGCCACACUGGGACUGAGACACGGCCCAGACUCCUACGGGAGGCAGCAGUGGGGAAUUUUGGACAAUGGGCGCAAGCCUGAUCCAGCAAUGCCGCGUGAGUGAAGAAGGCCUUCGGGUUGUAAAGCUCUUUUGUCAGGGAAGAAACGGCCUGGGUUAAUACCCCGGGCUAAUGACGGUACCUGAAGAAUAAGCACCGGCUAACUACGUG
RNAcentral lists this ribosomal RNA (501 nucleotides) under uncultured Massilia sp. RNAcentral describes it as "bacterial SSU rRNA". It matches the Rfam family "Bacterial small subunit ribosomal RNA", at positions 9 to 507 of the family's 1533-position model. The record is from RNAcentral. Lineage: Bacteria; Pseudomonadati; Pseudomonadota; Betaproteobacteria; Burkholderiales; Oxalobacteraceae.